CAAAGUAAGCGGGUGGGAUAGGAAUGGGAAUGGAGAAUGGAGGCUAUGAAAAGGAAUAUGAUAUUAAUAUAGCAGGAU
This 78-nucleotide non-coding RNA is filed under the name Heterosigma akashiwo. The record is from RNAcentral. Lineage: Eukaryota; Raphidophyceae; Chattonellales; Chattonellaceae.